This is a long non-coding RNA of Xiphophorus hellerii (green swordtail), 443 nucleotides long. RefSeq lists it as uncharacterized. The transcript has 3 exons. The record is from RefSeq and is a predicted model, not a curated record. Lineage: Eukaryota; Metazoa; Chordata; Actinopteri; Cyprinodontiformes; Poeciliidae.
UUAGCUGUGUUGAUUUGAGUUCUCUGUGUGUUUAGUUUGAGUUCCUGUGUCUUCCAAGUCUCCGUGUUGUCCUGUCUUCCCCUUGAUUGUUCCCAGGUGUGUCUCAUUCCCCGAUUACCUUCUGUGUAUUUAGUGUCUCCUGUGUCUCUGUGUCGCUGUCGGGUCCUCGUCUCACUUGGCGUCCUGUUCCCUGUCGUCCGUGUGCCCAGUCUCUCGUCUCAUCCUUUAUGUACCGGUUGCUACCGGCGUCGAGCCCAGGCUUCCGCUCAGCCGUGCUGCCCGGCUUUUGGAUUUGGUGGACUGGGUCAUUUUUGGACAUUCUUCACUAAAAACAUUUAUUUCUUCACAUCCUGGGUCUCCCGCCUGCUGCCUUCACCACCUCACACCGUUUUAUGACACCUUUAAUCUCCAUGGUAACACUUCAGCGGUGAAAACCAACCUAG